AGUGAACGCUGGCGGUAGGCCUAACACAUGCAAGUCGAACGGCAGCACAGGAGAGCUUGCUCUCUGGGUGGCGAGUGGCGGACGGGUGAAGAAUACAUCGGAAUCUACUCUGUCGUGGGGGAGAACGUAGGGAAACUUACGCUAAUACCGCAUACGACCUACGGGUGAAAGCAGGGGACCUUCGGGCCUUGCGCGAUUGAAUGAGCCGAUGUCGGAUUAGCUAGUUGGCGGGGUAAAGGCCCACCAAGGCGACGAUCCGCAGCUGGUCUGAGAGGAUGAUCAGCCACACUGGAACUGAGACACGGUCCAGACUCCUACGGGAGGCAGCAGUGGGGAAUAUUGGACAAUGGGCGCAAGCCUGAUCCAGCCAUACCGCGUGGGUGAAGAAGGCCUUCGGGUUGUAAAGCCCUUUUGUUGGGAAAGAAAUCCAGCUGGCUAAUACCCGGUUGGGAUGACGGUACCCAAAGAAUAAGCACCGGCUAACUUCGUGCCAGCCGCCGCGGUAA
RNAcentral lists this ribosomal RNA (506 nucleotides) under uncultured bacterium. Its description in RNAcentral is "partial 16S ribosomal RNA". It matches the Rfam family "Bacterial small subunit ribosomal RNA", at positions 29 to 523 of the family's 1533-position model. The record is from RNAcentral.